GGAUGUGAGGGCAAUCUGGCUGUGACAUCUGUCACCCCAUUGAUUGCCAGGGUUGAUAUGGUUGAUCUGGCUGGCUAGGCAGGUGUCCCCUUCCUCCCUCACUGCUCCAUGUGCGUCCCUCCCAAAGCUGUGCACUCGGUCGAAGAGAAUGACCUUCUCCGUUGGAGGAGGACUGUUCUUCGGUCAAAGGUAUAUGAGUAGCUGCGCUCCCUGCUAGAACUUCCAAACACGAUCUCAAGGUCCGUUUGUAGGAGAACAUAGGGAAGGCAGUCAAGCUUCCAAGACUCCAGACACAUCCAAACAAGGCACUGCAUGUGGCAGUCUCCUUGUCUU
Non-coding RNA from Equus caballus (horse), 333 nucleotides. The record is from Rfam. NCBI's taxonomy places the organism in Eukaryota, Metazoa, Chordata, Mammalia, Perissodactyla, Equidae.